Non-coding RNA from Brachypodium distachyon (stiff brome), 125 nucleotides. Lineage: Eukaryota; Viridiplantae; Streptophyta; Magnoliopsida; Poales; Poaceae. The record is from Rfam.
UUGAUACUUCCUCCGUUCCAUAAUUCUUGUCGAAAUAUUACAUGUAUCUAGACGCUUUUUAGGAAUAGAUACAUCCAUUUUGGGGCUAAUUGGAGACAAGAAUUAUGAAACGGAGGGAGUACUAG